This 77-nucleotide transfer RNA is filed under the name Arcobacter sp. RNAcentral describes it as "tRNA-Arg". It matches the Rfam family "tRNA". From Rfam's summary of the family: Transfer RNA (tRNA) molecules are approximately 80 nucleotides in length. Their secondary structure includes four short double-helical elements and three loops (D, anti-codon, and T loops). RNAcentral also lists the same sequence under 2 other names. Lineage: Bacteria; Pseudomonadati; Campylobacterota; Epsilonproteobacteria; Campylobacterales; Arcobacteraceae. The record is from RNAcentral.
GCGUUUGUAGCUCAGCUGGAUAGAGCAAUGCCCUUCUAAGGCAUCGGUCACACGUUCGAAUCGUGUCAAGCGUACCA